RNAcentral lists this non-coding RNA (23 nucleotides) under Cricetulus griseus (Chinese hamster). The record is from RNAcentral. Lineage: Eukaryota; Metazoa; Chordata; Mammalia; Rodentia; Cricetidae.
AAAAUGCACUGGAGACACGGAAU